This is a long non-coding RNA of Drosophila ananassae, 599 nucleotides long. RefSeq lists it as uncharacterized. The record is from RefSeq and is a predicted model, not a curated record. The transcript is spliced from 2 exons. NCBI's taxonomy places the organism in Eukaryota, Metazoa, Arthropoda, Insecta, Diptera, Drosophilidae.
UCUAGCCUAUUUGAAUUAUUCCCACAGUAGGCUCUGGAAUGUUGUUUACCAUCAUAAAAAAGAUGAUCCAUCAAAGAAAAAUAGAUGAAACAAAUUUAAAAAAAAUGUAAAAUAAUAGCCAAAAUGUCUGAGCAAAACAAGCAUCCACAAUGCCUGCAGGGUCUGCAGGAGCCACUGCGUCAGCACUAUCUGUCUGAGGUGGCCCACCUACACAUAGGUGGGACAUAAAAUGGGUUCCUUAUAUAAACUCCGCACUCCGACUUCAUUUUAGAGUUCAACUCUCCAUCUGCGUGAAUCACAUCAUCAAAAGUGUCUUCCCGGGUCGAUGGCCACAAGUGGUGGACAACAUCAGCAUCGCGCUUACGCAGUACAGCCUUCCGAUGGACUUCAUCACCCGAGAGAUCUUCUCGCAGUGGAUGGAGAUUGGUCGCCAAAUUGAUAAUCGGGAUGAGCCAAAUUGAUGUCGGGAUAGUUCCCAUUUGGACGAUGAUGAGCGCACCGAAUUAACAUACUGCUACACCAAGAAGUGGGCUCUCCACAUCAUGGUUCGCAUGUUCGAGGGGUAUGGAAGUCCCAGCAACGUAGUUAGUGAAAAGCAC